RNAcentral lists this unclassified non-coding RNA (316 nucleotides) under plant metagenome. Its description in RNAcentral is "partial contains 5.8S ribosomal RNA, internal transcribed spacer 2, and large subunit ribosomal RNA". The stretch from base 1 to 105 matches the Rfam family "5.8S ribosomal RNA", at positions 50 to 154 of the family's 154-position model. The record is from RNAcentral.
GAAAUGCGAUAACUAGUGUGAAUUGCAGAAUUCCGUGAAUCAUCGAGUCUUUGAACGCACAUUGCGCCCCCUGGUAUUCCGGGGGGCAUGCCUGUCCGAGCGUCAUUGCUGCCCAUCAAGCACGGCUUGUGUGUUUGGUCGUCGUCCCCUCUCCGGGGGGGACGGGCCCCAAAGGCAGCGGCGGCACCGCGUCCGAUCCUCGAGCGUAUGGGGCUUUGUCACCCGCUCUGUAGGCCCGGCCGGCGCUUGCCGAACGCAAAUCAAUCUUUUUCCAGGUUGACCUCGGAUCAGGUAGGGAUACCCGCUGAACUUAAGC